GACGAACGCUGGCGGCGUGCUUAACACAUGCAAGUCGAACGGAAAGGCCCUGCUUUUGUGGGGUGCUCGAGUGGCGAACGGGUGAGUAACACGUGAGUAACCUGCCCUUGACUUUGGGAUAACUUCAGGAAACUGGGGCUAAUACCGGAUAGGAGCUCCUGCUGCAUGGUGGGGGUUGGAAAGUUUCGGCGGUUGGGGAUGGACUCGCGGCUUAUCAGCUUGUUGGUGGGGUAGUGGCUUACCAAGGCUUUGACGGGUAGCCGGCCUGAGAGGGUGACCGGCCAACUUGGGACUGAGAUACGGGCCAGACUCCUACGGGAGGCAGGAGGGGGGAAUAUUGCCCAAUGGGGCGAAGCCUGGUGCAGCAACGCCGGGUGCGGGAUGGCGGCCUUCGGGUUGGAAACCGCUUUCGCCUGUGACGAAGCGUGAGUGACGGUAAUGGGUAAAGAAGCACCGGCUAACUACGUG
RNAcentral lists this ribosomal RNA (468 nucleotides) under uncultured bacterium. RNAcentral describes it as "partial 16S ribosomal RNA". It matches the Rfam family "Bacterial small subunit ribosomal RNA", at positions 28 to 507 of the family's 1533-position model. The record is from RNAcentral.